UGCCUCAACCUAAUAAAUCUUAUGACUCUUUACAAGGAUUGCCCUGGUCAAGGUCUUACUAAAUUGAGACAUAAAAUAUUCUCUCCAAUUUUUUAGAGUGAUCUAUUUUAUCUUGAUUCACGCAUCGACUUCGCAAGUAUGUGACUGUGCCCAGAAAUCUUUCGAUUAUAAAUUAAAAAUUCAGAUAGUCCAACAUCAAAAUACAGUGAGUUGCUUGCAAGUCACCAUGAUGAUCUUAGGUCGGAGGGACACUUAUAUCUAUAUCCCUUCAGAGUGACUCUUGAUAGUAGAGUGCUC
Molecule: long non-coding RNA, 297 nt
Filed under: Elaeis guineensis (African oil palm)
Lineage: Eukaryota; Viridiplantae; Streptophyta; Magnoliopsida; Arecales; Arecaceae
Description: long non-coding RNA (EGUI_LNC052278)
Source: RNAcentral